GGAGGAACACCAGUGGCGAAGGUGGUUCUCUGGACCUUUCCUGACGCUGAGAAGCGAAAGCGUGGGGAGCAAACAGGCUUAGAUACCCUGGUAGUCCACGCCGUAAACGGUGGGUACUAGGUGUGGGUCUCAUUCCACGAGAUCCGUGCCGUAGCUAACGCAUUAAGUACCCCGCCUGGGGAGUACGGCCGCAAGGCUAAAACUCAAAGGAAUUGACGGGGCCCCGCACAAGCGGCGGAGCAUGCGGAUUAAUUCGAUGCAACGCGAAGAACCUUACCUGGGUUUGACAUGUGCCGGAAGUAUUCAGAGAUGGGUGCGCCUUUUUGGUCGGUACACAGGUGGUGCAUGGCUGUCGUCAGCUCGUGUCGUGAGAUGUUGGGUUAAGUCCCGCAACGAGCGCAACCCUCGUCCAAUGUUGCCAGCAGUUCGGCUGGGGACUCAUUGGAGACUGCCGGGGACAACUCGGAGGAAGGUGGGGAUGAGGUCAAGUCAUCAUGCCCCUUAUGUCCAGGGCUUCACGCAUGCUACAAUGGCUGGUACAAAGAGCUGCGAGCCUGUGAGGGUGAGCGAAUCUCAGAAAGCCAGUCUCAGUUCGGAUUGGGGUCUGCAACUCGACCCCAUGAAGUCGGAGUCGCUAGUAAUCGCAGAUCAGCAACGCUGCGGUGAAUACGUUCCCGGGGCUUGUACACACCGCCCGUCAAGUCAUGAAAGUCGGUAACACCCGAAGCCGGUGGCCUAUCCCUUGUGGGGGGAGCCGUCGAA
RNAcentral lists this ribosomal RNA (762 nucleotides) under uncultured Propionibacterium sp. Its description in RNAcentral is "bacterial SSU rRNA". It matches the Rfam family "Bacterial small subunit ribosomal RNA", at positions 700 to 1460 of the family's 1533-position model. Lineage: Bacteria; Bacillati; Actinomycetota; Actinomycetes; Propionibacteriales; Propionibacteriaceae. The record is from RNAcentral.